This 408-nucleotide ribosomal RNA is filed under the name Macaca mulatta (Rhesus monkey). Its description in RNAcentral is "partial 12S ribosomal RNA". It matches the Rfam family "Bacterial small subunit ribosomal RNA", at positions 794 to 1404 of the family's 1533-position model. Lineage: Eukaryota; Metazoa; Chordata; Mammalia; Primates; Cercopithecidae. The record is from RNAcentral.
GCUUGGCCCUAAACCUCAGUAGUUAGAUAACAAAACUACUCGCCAGAAUACUACAAGCAACAGCUUAAAACUCAAAGGACUUGACGGUGCUUUACACCCCCUAGAGGAGCCUGUUCCGUAAUCGAUAAACCCCGAUCCACCCCACCCUCUCUUGCUCAGCCUAUAUACCGCCAUCUUCAGCAAACCCUAAUAAAGGUUACAAAGUGAGCGCAAAUGCCAUACCGCAAAAACGUUAGGUCAAGGUGUAGCCUAUGAGACGGUAAAAAAUGGGCUACAUUUUCUACCUCAGAAAAUUCCACGAAAACCCUUAUGAAAUUUAAGGGUCCAAGGAGGAUUUAGCAGUAAAUUAAGAAUAGAGUGCUUAAUUGAACCAGGCCAUAAAGCGCGCACACACCGCCCGUCGUUCUU